GACGAACGCUGGCGGCGUGCUUAACACAUGCAAGUCGAACGAAGAGCGACGGAAGCUUGCUUCUAUCAAUCUUAGUGGCGAACGGGUGAGUAACGCGUAAUCAGCCUGCCCUUCAGAGGGGGACAACAGUUGGAAACGACUGCUAAUACCGCAUACGAUCUAACCUCGGCAUCGAGGAUAGAUGAAAGGUGGCCUCUACAUGUAAGCUAUCACUGAAGGAGGGGAUUGCGUCUGAUUAGCUAGUUGGAGGGGUAACGGCCCACCAAGGCGAUGAUCAGUAGCCGGUCUGAGAGGAUGAACGGCCACAUUGGGACUGAGACACGGCCCAGACUCCUACGGGAGGCAGCAGUGGGGAAUCUUCCGCAAUGGACGAAAGUCUGACGGAGCAACGCCGCGUGAGUGAUGACGGCCUUCGGGUUGUAAAGCUCUGUUAAUCGGGACGAAAGGCCUUCUUGCGAAUAGUGAGAAGGAUUGACGGUACCGGAAGAGAAAGCCACGGCUAACUACGUG
Molecule: ribosomal RNA, 510 nt
Filed under: uncultured bacterium
Lineage: Bacteria
Description: partial 16S ribosomal RNA
Rfam family: Bacterial small subunit ribosomal RNA
Source: RNAcentral